This 19-nucleotide ribosomal RNA is filed under the name Hoplolaimus galeatus. RNAcentral's name for it is "partial 5.8S ribosomal RNA". The record is from RNAcentral. Lineage: Eukaryota; Metazoa; Nematoda; Chromadorea; Rhabditida; Hoplolaimidae. RNAcentral also lists the same sequence under 1 other name.
UUAUCGGUGGAUCACUCGG